GCAGGGAUAGCUCAAUUGGGAGAGCGUCAGACUGAAAAUUUGAAAGUUGCGUGUUCGAUUCACGCUUACUGCA
Molecule: non-coding RNA, 73 nt
Organism: Hibiscus syriacus
Lineage: Eukaryota; Viridiplantae; Streptophyta; Magnoliopsida; Malvales; Malvaceae
Source: the annotation of a RefSeq genome assembly